UAUGCCCUGUGCUCUAUGAGCAUGGCUGUGUGAUGGGCUCCAGGGCAAGGGCUUUGGUUCCUUGCUCUGCUCCCUGUCUGCUGAAGGACUCUGAGUGCCAGACUGCCUGACUUAUUGGUAACGACAACGACAAAAGCCACCCAGUGGGAGGAAUACCUUGAGACUUGCCCAGGUUGAGAGCACAUGAGGGUUCUUUACUUUGCUGGAGCUGGAGAAGAGUCAGACAUCUCUCUCUCCCGUUCCAAGGACCACGGACCCUUGCAGAGGAGAGGGGUGGAAAGAAUGGAAGGCCUGGAGGACAAAAGGUUGCAGGGUUGUACGGGACCAUCCUCGGAGCCAAACCACCGCCAUCUUCAGAGACACACAUGAAUGUGCUACUACGAGCCAGCAGAGGUCAAGCGAGUCUCCCAAGGUCACAAGCCAGUGAGCUGAAAAGCAGAGGUUGCAUCCUGAUGCCUCCAAACCACCUCAGCCCGUCAGUCCAGUCUCCCAGUUCUGUUUAUGAUAAACCGGGUCGGGAGCCAUUCCAUGGUCUUCCAUUGGAUGCUUUUUUGCCAAGAGCUGCAGUGGCCUAAGAAGACUCCGAGAAGGUCUGCAGGGGAGAAGCCCAUGCUGCCUAGCUGACUAGUGUGCCCCCAGUCAUUUGGUGGUGAAACUGUCAGGACUGAGCCCUGCAGAUCCUGGGUCUCACUGGACUCUACGGAACCUGUGGCCAGCUGAGCUGAGACUCUUGACGUCAUUCCCUAUAAACAGGUAUAGUGGGAUUGUGACUCUGGAAAAGCUGGACUCCCUGGCUUUGAAACUUGAGGAAGUUAACCACCUUGACAAGCAGGGUAGCAGGGAGAAAGCGCUAGAGCCUGGAAGCCCCAAAUCCUGGAGUUUCACUCACCGUGUGCUUUACCAGCCAUAGAAGACCCGAUGUUCUAGUGAUCUCCUAGCUCUCUACCCCUCCACAUUGCCUUGCAUAUUUCUCAUUUUAAAAUAUUUUUUGUUUAUUUUAUGUGUUUGUUCCUGCACGUGUGCCUGCGCACCAUAUGUGUGUCUGGUGCCUGUGGAGGCCGAAGAGUGUACUAGAUCUCCUGGAAUUGGAGUUACAGGUGGUUGUGAGCUGCCACGUGGAUGCGGGGAACAGAACCCAGGUCCUCUGGAAGAACAGCCAGUGCUCUUAACUAUGGAUCCAACCUCCAUAAUUCCUGUCUUUAUAGCCAAGGAAACUGAGGCUCAGAAAGAUUUGUGCUUUCUGUAUUGGUCACUUUACCCAAUGUCGUCUUUGGAACCUCAGUCAGCCUGGCUUCAAAGCCUCCGUUGUUAUUUCUUCCUUUGGGAUUUUUGAGACAAGAUCUGACCUCAGCCUCCUGAGUGUGCUCCUGCGAUUACAGGUGUGUGCCAUUACACUCAGCUUCAAAGCCCACAAAGCCAUCGUGGUGCACCCCUCCUAGGGUAAAUCAGUGUAUCUCAGGGGUCUCAACUUCUCUUGUCAAUGAACCAAUAAGGCUGCAUUUUUUUCUGAGCUAAUUCUGUAGAAAGACCCUGCCCAGAAUGGCAUAGGAUAUUAAUAAAUGAGAGAUUGCUUUUACCCUUGGCCAGGGGUGUCCAUCCCUUGAAAGCAGGAGGAAGCCUUACCCCUGCCUCCUCCGACAAAAUGAAUUGAGCUUCUUGGGUAGCAUCCUUGGGGAUACUGGGAAUGUGGAUACAGGUGGAUCCAGGGGUGAUGAAAAUCACUGUCUCUUGCUUUGAACUCCCUUGAGGCAGCCUCAGGUGAAGCCUGGCCCUAAAAUAUUCUAAACCACUCCUCAGGGCAGAUUGCAGUAAAUCUCAUCAGAAUCCGCUGCCUGUAAUGGCUUGUAAAUUGUGGUUCAUAAUUCAGCCAGUGCCUGGGUCGCAGGCUGGCUCACUGUUUCUUGUUCUCCUCCCUGCAGCUCACACAAGUCCCUGGUAAAAGCAAUAAAUUGGAAAUAAGGGGCACCCUGCUAACUAAAUUUCACUUGUCAGCUUUAAGAUCUCAUGCUGGGUGUUAAGUUCACACAAAUAUCUUA
Myodes glareolus (Bank vole) is the source of this 2036-nucleotide non-coding RNA. The record is from RefSeq and is a predicted model, not a curated record. NCBI's taxonomy places the organism in Eukaryota, Metazoa, Chordata, Mammalia, Rodentia, Cricetidae.